RNAcentral lists this unclassified non-coding RNA (208 nucleotides) under plant metagenome. RNAcentral describes it as "partial contains small subunit ribosomal RNA, internal transcribed spacer 1, and 5.8S ribosomal RNA". The record is from RNAcentral.
GUAGGUGAACCUGCGGAAGGAUCAUUCAUAAUAAGUGUUUUAUGGCACUUUUUUAAAUCCAUAUCCACCUUGUGUGCAAUGUCAGGGUUGAUUUUUCUCUCGAGAGGAUCAGCCCCAAACAUCAACUAUAUCUCAACUCUUUGUCUGAAAAAUAUUAUGAAUAAAACAAUUCAAAAUACAACUUUCAACAACGGAUCUCUUGGCUCUU